RNAcentral lists this ribosomal RNA (584 nucleotides) under Hanseniaspora uvarum. RNAcentral's name for it is "eukaryotic LSU rRNA". It matches the Rfam family "Eukaryotic large subunit ribosomal RNA", at positions 66 to 669 of the family's 3401-position model. Lineage: Eukaryota; Fungi; Ascomycota; Saccharomycetes; Saccharomycodales; Saccharomycodaceae. The record is from RNAcentral.
CAAUCGGCAUACUUAGUACGGCGAGUGAGCGGUAAAAGCUCAAAUUUGAAAUCUGGUACUUUCAGUGCCCGAGUUGUAAUUUGUAGAAUUUGUCUUUGAUUAGGUCCUUGUCUAUGUUCCUUGGAACAGGACGUCAUAGAGGGUGAGAAUCCCGUUUGGCGAGGAUACCUUUUCUCUGUAAGACUUUUUCGAAGAGUCGAGUUGUUUGGGAAUGCAGCUCAAAGUGGGUGGUAAAUUCCAUCUAAAGCUAAAUAUUGGCGAGAGACCGAUAGCGAACAAGUACAGUGAUGGAAAGAUGAAAAGAACUUUGAAAAGAGAGUGAAAAAGUACGUGAAAUUGUUGAAAGGGAAGGGCAUUUGAUCAGACAUGGUGUUUUUUGCAUGCACUCGCCUCUCGUGGGCUUGGGCCUCUCAAAAAUUUCACUGGGCCAACAUCAAUUCUGGCAGCAGGAUAAAUCAUUAAGAAUGUAGCUACUUCGGUAGUGUUAUAGCUUUUUGGAAUACUGUUAGCCGGGAUUGAGGACUGCGCUUCGGCAAGGAUGUUGGCAUAAUGGUUAAAUGCCGCCCGUCUUGAACACGGAACCA